This 304-nucleotide unclassified non-coding RNA is filed under the name air metagenome. RNAcentral's name for it is "partial contains small subunit ribosomal RNA, internal transcribed spacer 1, and 5.8S ribosomal RNA". The stretch from base 1 to 46 matches the Rfam family "Eukaryotic small subunit ribosomal RNA", at positions 1786 to 1831 of the family's 1831-position model. The record is from RNAcentral.
AAGUCGUAACAAGGUUUCCGUAGGUGAACCUGCGGAAGGAUCAUUAACGAGUUCUGAAAUGGGUUGCAGCUGGCUUUUCGCACAUCGCGGGAAGCAUGUGCUCGCCUUGCUCAAUCCACUCUACACCUGUGAACUAACUGUGGGUCUUUGGUGCGAGCCGGCGUGUAACUCCCCUUCACUGGGGCGGUUGUCGGCUUUUAACCAUGGCCUACGUUUUCUUACAAACUCUUUAAAAGUAUCGAGAAUGUGUAUCGCGAUAUAACGCAUUUAUAUACAACUUUCAGCAACGGAUCUCUUGGCUCUC